CUACUUGUCGUACACCUUGCAAUAUGUCACAAAAAUCACAUUAACUUAUCCGUCUGCGCCAGGUCUAGCUCCGUGCCAACAACCCAGGGGAUUCGGAGGGUGCAAGCGUGACUCGGAAUCACUGGGCGUAAAGGACGCGUAGGCUGGCUGACAAGUCAGAUGUGAAAUCCUAUGGCUUAACCAUAGAACUGCAUUUGAAACUGUUAGUCUAGAGUAUGGGAGGGGGAGAUGGAAUUAGUGGUGUAGGGGUAAAAUCCGUAGAUAUCACUAGGAAUACCUAAAGCGAAGGCGAUCUCCUGGAACAUUACUGACGCUAAGGCGUGAAAGCGUGGGGAGCAAACAGGAUUAGAUACCCUGGUAGUCCACGCCCUAAACGAUGAACACUAGUCGUCGGNANGCUUGUCNUCUCGGUGAUGCACUUAACAGAUUAAGUGUUCCGCCUGGGGGAGUACGGUCGCAAGAUUAAAACUCAAA
This 474-nucleotide ribosomal RNA is filed under the name uncultured prokaryote. Its description in RNAcentral is "bacterial SSU rRNA". It matches the Rfam family "Bacterial small subunit ribosomal RNA", at positions 416 to 905 of the family's 1533-position model. The record is from RNAcentral.